GCCUGGGUGGCUCUGUCGGUUGAGCCUCUGACUUCGGCUCAGGUCAUGAUCUCACGGUCUGUGGGUUCGAGUCCCGCAUCGGGCU
This is a transfer RNA of Felis catus (domestic cat), 85 nucleotides long. It matches the Rfam family "tRNA". Rfam says of the family: Transfer RNA (tRNA) molecules are approximately 80 nucleotides in length. Their secondary structure includes four short double-helical elements and three loops (D, anti-codon, and T loops). The record is from Rfam. Lineage: Eukaryota; Metazoa; Chordata; Mammalia; Carnivora; Felidae.